UACGGAGGAUGCGAGCGUUAUCCGGAUUUAUUGGGUUUAAAGGGUGCGCAGGCGGCCUGUUAAGUCAGCGGUAAAAGCCCGGGGCUCAACCCCGGCGAGCCGUUGAAACUGGCGGGCUGGAGUUGGAGAGAAGUACGCGGAAUGCGCGGUGUAGCGGUGAAAUGCUUAGAUAUAACUUAGAACUCCGAUAGCGAAGGCAGCUUACCAGACUGCGACUGACGCUGAAGCACGAGAGCGUGGGUAGCGAACAGG
RNAcentral lists this ribosomal RNA (252 nucleotides) under uncultured Bacteroidales bacterium. Its description in RNAcentral is "partial 16S ribosomal RNA". It matches the Rfam family "Bacterial small subunit ribosomal RNA", at positions 524 to 776 of the family's 1533-position model. Lineage: Bacteria; Pseudomonadati; Bacteroidota; Bacteroidia; Bacteroidales. The record is from RNAcentral.